Molecule: unclassified non-coding RNA, 1141 nt
Filed under: Hevea brasiliensis (rubber tree)
Lineage: Eukaryota; Viridiplantae; Streptophyta; Magnoliopsida; Malpighiales; Euphorbiaceae
Source: RNAcentral
AUUAAAAAAAAAAAAAAAAACCCUUUUAGAUGCUGUUUAAAUUAGAAUCAAAUUUUAAGGGUUUAUUUUUGAGAUAGUAUUUUAUCAAUUGCUCUUCAAAUAACAAUGCCAAAAAGAUUAAUUGUCACCACCAAAUAAAAAAAAAAAGUAAUUUACUCUGUUUUCCUCAAAAUACUUUUCGCAAGUUAUUUUCAAUGGAACAUGUGAGCCUUGCUGAGUCUGACAAGACUUGACUUUGAUUUUUAGCUUUUAGAUUGUUGUUUCUACAUAGUCGCACACUGCUACCAAUUGAGCAUACAGAAAACUGCACCAACUAGUAAUUAUCAUGAUCGCUUGGCAGUGAGCUGAUGAAAAUUUUAAAACUAAAGCACUUACAAAUUUUGGUGCAAUUUUUUUAGGCUUUUGACUUUCAUUUUCUUCUCAUGGAACAAAUUCAUCAUUUUGUUCUUGGUGCAUCAUUCAAAUUUAAGAUACAAAUUGCAUAGAGAUGCUAGUCUAUAUUAUGUUAAAAAUAAAAAAAAUAAACAUAUCAUUUUAUAAAAUUUCUUGUAUAAGUAUGACUAUAAAUAAAAAGAUAACACCUAAAUAACAUCUUAUUCAUCGACUAAAUACAAAUUUAAAUACUUAAAUAUUAACAUAUCAAUAUGAUUGAUAUUUUUAUAAAAUUCUAAAUCGGUCGGGUUAUGGGUUAUUGGGUCAAUAGGUCACCAGUUUAACUACUGGGUCACCUGGUUUUUUCUAGGUCAACUCCUUGUCCGGUUCAAUGAGAGAAUUAGCCCGAUUUUAUGUCGAAGUCACCGGUUCACUGAGUCAACCCGUCAGGUCGAUCCAAGUUUUAUAACAAUGGCAGGAGGUUCUAUGCAGAUUACAGAGCUUUGAAUAAGGAGACAAUCCCGAAUAAAUAUCCAAUUCCUUUAAUACAAGAGCUGGAUGAAUUAUAUGGAAAUCAAUAUUUCUCUAAACUGAACCUAAAGUCAAGAUACCACCAGAUUUAAGUAGUAGAAGCUAAUAUUUCCAAAAAUGGCCUUUCAGACUCGCUCGAGGAAUUAUGAGUUUGUUGUUAUGCCAUUUGGGUUAACAAACACACCAACCACCUUCCAAGUUACUAUGAACGACUUUGACCAUAUCUUCCCCGCUUUGU